This 1142-nucleotide small RNA is filed under the name Histoplasma capsulatum var. duboisii H88. RNAcentral's name for it is "Histoplasma capsulatum H88 hypothetical RNA". Lineage: Eukaryota; Fungi; Ascomycota; Eurotiomycetes; Onygenales; Ajellomycetaceae. The record is from RNAcentral.
CGGACGAGACAACGACCACUUCUACCGUAAUGUUGGAUUCCCUCUAAGCCUGCGAGAUUACGAUUAAAUCCUGACCACGCACUGAUUUUGGAGACCCUCGUUCUGGAUAUCGACGGACAAUCAAUCAAUGAUUUCGAGUCAAGCUUACUGGGGUGUUAUCAGAGCAUUCAACUUUGGGAGAUGAGCACUGGCAAUAACGGGGGACGACCACGCCCUCCUCAAGCCGUUGCCUCCAAGUCUGGACCUAUAGCUUCCUCAGCUAAACAGCCAACGCUCGCGGUUCCGUCCUCUAAACCCCCCUCGACUCCUCGAUCACCUUCGCAAACUCUCCAAGCAGGCAAGCCCAGUGCACCAUCCAGCCAAAUCGAUGCAGCCAACGAUAAAGCUACGGCGGCGCUGAUCCGCCGUGUCCUCUGCCCUCAGUCCUCUAACUAUGGGCCAGACCAGCGGGAGCGGGGUACCCCUCGACCCCUGGAAGAGUUGCUUCCUCCCCUUACGAGCUCGAACGAGGUAGAUCUACAGCUGUAUGCUCUAAUUGCGAUCAUAAUUAAAGAGUUCGUUUACGCCUGGUACUCAACGAUUACCCCAGAUCACACUUUUAGCGAUGAAAUUAUCCAAAUUAUCGCCCAUUGCACUCGUGCGCUCGAGCAGAGGCUCCGGCAAGUAGAUGUGGAUGCUUUGGUUUUGGAUGAAAUCCCCGCCUUGGUUGAAGCACAUAUUGUUGCGUUCCGUACCGCCUACCAAAAUCCACACAUGAACCGCUCCGCUUCUUAUCUCCACACGGCUUACCAUACUUUGAACCCACAUCCGGCGCUCUUCCCUGUCCCGGACGCCUCCGAUACGACGGCGAUUGCAGAGCAACAAAAGCGAGAGACAGCAUACCGCCAAUUACUUGCCCAGGGCGUUUUGGCUGUGCUUCUCCCAACCGAAGAUCUGGAGAAUGUCUACUUGAGGACAUUGGUUGGCGAUAUUUUGGCGGAUAUGAUCCUGGGCGAGUUCGUCAGCGACAAAUUGAGCGAUGGUCCAUUUAUCUAUGAACUCCUCACACGGCUCAUCACGGUAAUACAGCAAGACGGCCGUAAAAAUGAACAAGCGGAGCAUAUUCAAAAAGCCGACUGGAGAGGUUUGGCCUUCUUGGCCCC